AGCACAGCGUCUGCGCACGGCCGGGUCUCAGGACGGGCCUGGGCGUGGCCACGCAGCCGUCCCCAGUGACGUCAUCACGGCGUGAUAAAAGGCGCCUCGGAGCGCGAGGUCAGCGAGGUGGCGCCCCUCGGAGCGCCCUGAGCCCUCGGAGCCGCUGGCUGAGAGGAGGGCCCCGGGAAACUGCUUUGGGCGCUGGCUCAGCUUCAAGGCCGUUUAAAAUGGGAUCUGGAUGUGUUCAACAGGCUUCGGAGGGCGCGGCUGGGCGCUUGGAAGCUGCAGUGUCACAGUGUGGAUGUCCAGUUCUGGCGGUGAUUUCACUCCUGACAGAAGCUGUCCCUCGAAAGCAAGCAAGCACUAGGAGAAACAGAUCUCAGUAGGCGUCCCAGACUCACGCAUUGCGCAAGGACGGACAUUUAGGUUACAUGUGUAUCUGGCGUGCGUCGGAAGAGGAGCCAUGUGGAGAAGAGCUGGGUCACAGGUAUGCCUGUUUCCGUUCUCAAGAUAUUGCCAAUUUCUCUCCCAAGUGGUGGUUACUUGUUUACACUUCUCCCAGCAUGAGAAUAUUUGGUUUUUCCUCAUCAUUUAAUUUAUGUAUUUAUUUUUUGGUUAAUCCUCACCCAGUUAGAGAGAAUGGAAGAGGAAGGGGGAGGGGGGGAAGAAAGAGAGAAAAACAUUGAUGUGAGACACAUCAAUUGGUUGCCUCCCAUACCCAAACACCAGGUUGGGGUCGAACUUGCA
Molecule: long non-coding RNA, 738 nt
Organism: Myotis daubentonii (Daubenton's bat)
Lineage: Eukaryota; Metazoa; Chordata; Mammalia; Chiroptera; Vespertilionidae
Source: RefSeq, a predicted model, not a curated record